CCCCAGCGCCACAAGUGGUUAUCACGAUUAUUGGGCGUAAAGCGCGUGUAGGCGGCCGUGCAAGUCGGGUGUGAAAGCCCUCAGCUCAACUGAGGAAGUGCGCCCGAAACUGCAUGGCUUGAGUACCGGAGAGGAUGGCGGAAUUCCCGAAGUAGAGGUGAAAUUCGUAGAUAUCGGGAGGAACACCGGUGGCGAAGGCGGCCAUCUGGACGGAUACUGACGCUGAGACGCGAAAGCGUGGGUAGCAAACAGG
RNAcentral lists this ribosomal RNA (253 nucleotides) under uncultured bacterium. Its description in RNAcentral is "partial 16S ribosomal RNA". The stretch from base 27 to 253 matches the Rfam family "Bacterial small subunit ribosomal RNA", at positions 550 to 776 of the family's 1533-position model. The record is from RNAcentral.